Coturnix japonica (Japanese quail) is the source of this 5714-nucleotide non-coding RNA. The record is from RefSeq and is a predicted model, not a curated record. NCBI's taxonomy places the organism in Eukaryota, Metazoa, Chordata, Aves, Galliformes, Phasianidae.
AAGGCAGGAGCCGGCGGUGCGGGGGGAACAGGGCAGGGGAGGCGGGUCUGGGAGGUCCCGGGCUCUGUUUGUAAAAGGAAAGUCCGGCAGAGCCAGGUGUGCUUCGCUCGGCGCUCCUGGUUCUAAAACCGCGUUGUGGAUCGGGAUGCGAGCGCUGCACUCCGGCCGUGCUCCGGGCAGGCUGUGUCUUCGAGGCGGGAUAUUUUUUUUCGCUCCCUUCUCUUUGGCAACACUCGUCAAGCUCGUGGUGCCGGUGAAGUCCCAUUGAUCGGAAUUGUAAUAAACAGUAUUGCCAUUUGCACCAUUAUUCCUGCAUGUAAUAAAACCUGACCUUUCCGCCAGAUCUGCGUGCGGAUAUAGGACCGCGAGCCCUGAGCAAGACCCGGGCAGCCCCAGUCCUGGGAUGUACCACGCAGCGAGGGCUGCGCUCAGUGAAAGCACCACGAGUCUGCAUGUUUUUGGACUUUAGGACCUUCAAAAGCAUUCGGUGUAACAAAUACAAGCACCAUUGCUGCGAUUUUUGUUUGAUAAAGUACAAUUGCCUCCAAAUUUUUUUAACCAUUUUUUUUCUUUCUUUUUUUUUUUUUUCCUUUUUUUUUUUUGAGGCAACAGCUUGUAAUUGGAGAUGUGAUAUAAUACUCACAACAGAACCCGAAGCCAGUGGAAACGCACGGAUUUUAUUGCAAACUGGAAAUUCAACCCAGGGUCAGCAAAGAGAAUUUCUGUGUCUACCAGUGGGAGUCUCCUGGGAUUUCAGCCUCUUCCAUUGCUUACAUUCCUAUUAAAAAACAGCAAAGAGGAUUUUGAUUACUAUUCUUUCCUUGACUGGAGAGUUCAGGCUUGAGAGGUUCAUCCAAGGUGCACACUUGACCCCACUUUUCUUCCAGGUACAUCUCUGUUGAAAUGUUACGCACUGCAAUUCAUUCUUUGCAUCCUUCUAAUGUGCUUUACACCCUGACAAAUACUUUAACUUACAUAUCAGGCUAGAGAUUAUUUUUAUCUUCUGCAACAUGAAUGGGUUUAUUUUUUUCCAUCUUUUAUGUUUUUAGAGCUCUAAAUGUUUCACUAUCGUUUGCAUUUUCAAUUAAGAGCAAAGCAUGCUUGUAUUAUCUCUUGCAUGACUUUUAAAAAUGAUCCAAGCUAACACUGUAUGUGCCAAAUGUAGCAGCAGAAAGAUGAUGCAGGCACCCCACAGAAAUGCCUCUCUCUUCAACUCAAAGCUGAUUUGGAAAUUAAGGAAGGCAGAGACUUUAUCUUGACAAUUAUGAUCUCAAUAAUUUAAGUGCCUAAUAAUGAGUAAAUUUAUUUCAGAAACUCUGCUAUAUGCCUGUAUCUUCUUUGCAUUUCCUGUUAAAAAUUUUCAUUAUACUUUUUGGGUGUUGCUAAGAUCAUCACAUAAUUUUCAACACAGACCAUCACUGAGUUUGGUGAACUGACAAAUGUGUACCAUAAUGUACCAUCUCACAGAAAAAACACCAUAAAUUAUCAAUAAUAAUCUUAAAAUUAUUAAGGUUGGAAAAGGUUACUGAGAUCGUCCCAUCCAACCAUUGACCCAUGUCCAUCAUGCCCAUCAACCAUGUCCCUCAGUGCCACACCCACACAUUUCUGAAAGACCUUCACCAGUUCCCUAGGCAGCCUGUUCCAAUCUAGCAUGGUAUUUUCCUGUGGUAUUUUCAUGGUAUGUAAAAUAUGUUAUAUUAAAAUACAUAUCCCUAACUAGCAAAAUUAUUUCUUCCUUCCACUUUCUAUUCAGGAACACUUAACUGUUCUUCUGAAGUGAGAGGUGACACUGGGACAUUUAAAUAAAAUUUUCUACCCAAAUGAUCAGAUAGCCAAGGACACUCAUUAUCCUGCUGCUCCCACCCAACUGUCCAGCCUUCUGUAUUUUGUCUUCCUUUGUGAAAACCUGCCUCCUUAUUAGAUGAGCCCUAACAAGAACCAAGGCCUCCUGAAAAUCUGUCUCUUCAAGGUUGGAGGUCUUUGGGGAAACUGAGCAUUGUAUUGAUCCAGACUUCCACAGUGUUAUCCACUAAUACCCACAUUGUGGUCUUUGUUUCAUUCCCACUUCUGAAAAAAUUAUCUUAGUAAGAUGCACUUCAGAUUUCAAUGAAAUAUAUUAUUUUAUUGCCUGGUACUCGCAAAGGCUUUUUUAGAGCAUACUAAUUCCAGCAGCCAAUACUCUUGUCAUAACAAAACACCACUAGAGAGAAGGAAACAAUGCUGAUUGUCUUACUGAUGCCUUUGAAGAGCCUCCUGACACAAAGCUGCUUUUGGGAUGUGAAGUGGGGUAUGUGGAGGGCCUAAAAAGGCCAGGGAGUCAUUGCUGUGUAUUAUGUACACACAGAUGGAAAAAAAUAAUUGCUUAUACAUGGAGGACUCCAUGUUCACCUGCCUACCUGCAAUUAACCUGUGUUAAAAGGGCAUGCAACAGAAACUGUCCUUUGACUCUUGGUAGCCAGAAACUCUUGCAUACAUUCUCCAACCCCCCAUCUUCAGAUUUAGUGACAAGAUCUUGCAAUUACAGGGAGCUGUGUGGCAUUUCCCAUCCAAAGCCUCCUGUUCUCACUUGACCACCUUUCUCAGCAAUGCUCUCCUUCUGGGUUAGAAUUUUUCAUUCUUUACUCAAAGACUGGAUAUCAUUUUCUUCUGCUUGUCAUUUCUGCAGUUUUGAUAAAAUGGCCUGUGAGGUUUUUUUUUAAAGAGCACAUUCCCUAUUAUUGACCAAAUGCUUUCUUAUUUUUUCUUUGAGCAGACAAAAUAGUUGACAACUGAAAUAUAGCAUGGGAAUAGCUUUCAAGAAGGAGUGAGGCAUGGCCCUGUUCAGAAAUAAACUGUUUCACUGAAUUCUAUCCCCUCAAAAUUACACUGUAAGUGCAUUUCUUCUUAUCAAGGCACAGCCCAGAAAGAAACUGGUCUCUGAGUUUGUCAAAACAUCAAUGGUGCUGUUCUAUCAGAGGCUGUGUUGCAGUAGAGUCCUGUUCUGGAAGACACUAGUGAGUUAAUGCAAGGGCCAUUGAGAGCUGGUCAUUGGAAACAUAACGGGUGAAGCACAGUACAUCCAUCAGUGGUUACAAAUGCAUGAAAAUCCUUAAAACUGCUUGCUUUCAAACAAACUCUCACCGCAUGUUUCCUGUGGAUAUGGAUUUAGGCAAAUACAAUCUUUCCACAUUACUUAGAGGCCUUUUAGUAGGCUUCUACCCCCAUGCCUUUUGUCACAGUUCCAUGCUGGUAUUCCUCUUCGGAAUCAUAGGAGGAAACUUCAUUUUGUGCUGUCGGAGAAGAUGUCAACAAUACUGUGGAAGCUUCUGAGGACUUGCAGAGGUACAUUACAUUUCUGUACUGAUUAGUCAAUUAUUUUGACACACCUGUACCUUCUACUUGCAAUCAUUUCAAAACAUGUAGAGCUUUGAAGCCCACAGUCCUAAAACUGAGUUUGAACUCAGUUGAAGGCAGUCAUUCAGCCUUUGGAAGAGCUCCAAAAAGGCACUUCUACCCUUCUUGGUAGAACUUGGUAGAAAAAUAGAUGGAUAGCCUUAAGGCAUGUGUUGCCACUGAAAUACAAAAGGCAAAGAGAUCCAACAGUAGAGAACUGUUGAGUUGUAUGAGGUCUUGGAGGUGUUAAUCUGAUGUAUGAGAAUCAGAAGCUGAUAGAAAAACAAAUGGAAGGGAUAAUGUAGAGAUGGACCAUCUAGAAAGAUCAUUUUAGCUGCAUCUUCUUAGGCUAAAUGGUUGUGUUCAGUAGUAUAAAUCACAGCCUAUUGCUUCUGUUCCUUUAUUAGGUAAAUCUGCAUAUAUUUGUGGCUUAACUGUGUAAAAAUUCACAUUUAAUAUUCAGGGAGUAGCACACAUAAAAAGUUAAUGGAUGAAAGAAACAAAACGAAGGCAAAAUAAAUGUGAUCCAAAAUUAUGUUACACUCUUCAUCCAACUUUUAUCUGGUCUUAGCGUACUGUGAUUGGCACAAGCAACACUGCAACAUUUUGUACUUUUAUACAAAAGGAGAAAUGUAGACCUGAGUAAUUUCCUCUUGAGAACCUUAAAAGAGCUUACAGUUAGUGAAUGUUGUCAAGUAGUAGGCCUGGAAACACAUAAAUCUCUUUCAUUGGUUCUUUUUUACAAGGUUUAAGUAUUUCAAAGGUCACAAAGGAGACACCUCAAACAAAACAGACAUCAGAAAUGCAUUUGUAAUUGUCAAACUCUGGCCCCAUUACCAACAAAAAAUUUGAAAACUUCAUUCAAAUGCUGUGAUUCAUCUAGGGAGAAUAAUGAUGGGCAAGAUGGCCAUAGCCUCAAGACCUUUCACAAUGCCGUUACAUCCAGCUGUGCUACAUUCAACAAUCAGUUUAUGAAGGGGCCUUGGAGGCAAAUUAAUUAUUUAACUGUAAAAUAUAUUGAGAAUUCAGUCAUCCUUCCCCUCAUGGAACUAGCAUUCUUGAGAUUACCAUUACAUUCUCAGUACCAGACAUUGCUGAACUCUUAUCUGAAGGAAGGCCUGUUUGAGAAAAUCUUGAAAUUGAACAAAUAAAGCUUAUAUAUCAGAAAUUACUUUUAAGAAACACGGUGUGCUUAGCACGUCUCCUGGGACUGUCAAUGACUUUGGCUUACCCAGGCAUAAAUGUCCAAUAUAGAUUACUUUAAAACCUGUUACUGAAAUGAAAAAAAAAAAAAAAGGCUAGACUUCGCUCAGAGGAGAGCAAUUACUCUCCCUGUAAUAAUUGUUGGUGUUACAGUGGUGUAUUCAAAACUCUUGUAUAAGGUCCAAAUUCUUACACAUUUCCACCUCUUCAUGUUAAUUGGAAAUUGAUACAUAUGAGGGUAGCUGAGGAGUCUGCCUGAAUACAAAAUGAUCUAAAGAAAGCAACCUUGAACAUAAACAAGCAGGAGUAAGUGACAAUUAAAAAAAAAAAAAAAAAAAAAAAAGUGUUCCUCUGGCACAUUUUUCCAUUAAAAAGGAAUAUAUUCCAAUUCCUGCUGUUAACCAAGAGAUGGCUAUGAUUUGAAUAAGAAAAGAGCUCAGGAAGCCCGAUAUAUGAUUCAAAUCUACCUUUUACUCAUUUUAAUGAUAACCAGGAAUGAAAAUUGGGAUCUUCAAUCAGUCCAUACUCAAGAGAACAAGAAUAUGAUUAAAGUCAUUUCAAGCCCAACACUAUGCUCACAUUUAUUUUGCAACCUCACUGACUACUGGCUAAAAACAAAACUACAGCCCAAGUACAUUUGCUUCAUAGCUAUAGAUGUAAUACCAACUAGUGACAGCUCACCUGAAAAAGAAAGGUCACACCUGGCAUCAGUUUUCAGGCAUUACCUGCAGCAAGGGAAGGAAAGUUGCUAAACAAAAUACCACCCUCUAUUUUUCAGUCUACUGUGUAAUUUGUCUGCUGGGACUGGGAUAUAUGGCCUCUCAAAAAGCAGUGGACUAGAUAGAUACACUGAAUUAUUUCUUCACCUCAAUAAAACCAAGCAAUUUUUAAUGCUCUGAAGAUACUUCCACAGAAACAAUUGCUAAAAAUUCAUGGGUGCCAUUUUAUCUACAGUUUUAGGCAGAUUUUAUCCUCGAGGGAAAUUAAUCAACUCACAUUAAUAUACACUCAGCAGACUCACAAGUCAUAACUGAUGUAUUGUACAGUGAUUGCUCAUGUCUUUACACAAAAGCUUUCUCUUUUAGAACAUCGUUUCAUAAGUCUCCACUAGACUUCUCUUCCAAAGAUGAAAGACUCAU